Molecule: non-coding RNA, 123 nt
Organism: Erinaceus europaeus (western European hedgehog)
Lineage: Eukaryota; Metazoa; Chordata; Mammalia; Eulipotyphla; Erinaceidae
Source: Rfam
GUCUACAGCCAUACCACCCUGAACACACCCGAUCUCAUCUGAUCUCGGAAGCUAAGCAGGGUCGGGCCUGAUUAGUACUUGGAUGGAGAAAAAGAAAGAUAAGGGGCCAGGUGGCAGCGCACC